Molecule: ribosomal RNA, 253 nt
Filed under: uncultured bacterium
Lineage: Bacteria
Description: partial 16S ribosomal RNA
Rfam family: Bacterial small subunit ribosomal RNA
Source: RNAcentral
UACGGGGGAGGCAAGCGUUGUUCGGAAUCACUGGGCUUAAAGGGUGCGUAGGCGGGCCGGUUGGUGCUUUGUGAAAGCCCUCAGCUUAACUGAGGAACGGCAGGGCAUACCGCUGGUCUUGAGGUCGGCAGAGGAACCUGGAACUUUGGGUGGAGCGGUGAAAUGCGUAGAUAUCCAAGGGAACGCCGGUGGCGAAAGCGGGGUUCUGGGCCGAUUCUGACGCUGAGGCACGAAAGCGUGGGGAGCAAACAGG